Molecule: non-coding RNA, 23 nt
Filed under: Arabidopsis thaliana (thale cress)
Lineage: Eukaryota; Viridiplantae; Streptophyta; Magnoliopsida; Brassicales; Brassicaceae
Source: RNAcentral
GAAGAUUGUGAUAAGGCAUAUGG